Molecule: non-coding RNA, 29 nt
Filed under: Mus musculus (house mouse)
Lineage: Eukaryota; Metazoa; Chordata; Mammalia; Rodentia; Muridae
Source: RNAcentral
UUGGUUACCCCUCUCUCUGAGCCCUUCUG